Molecule: small RNA, 99 nt
Filed under: Escherichia coli
Lineage: Bacteria; Pseudomonadati; Pseudomonadota; Gammaproteobacteria; Enterobacterales; Enterobacteriaceae
Description: partial RtT sRNA
Rfam family: RtT RNA
About the family: This family represents a bacterial cis-regulatory element known as RtT RNA. The exact function of RtT is unknown although it is thought that it may be involved in changing the cellular response in relation to amino acid starvation.
Source: RNAcentral
UGCAUCUGCAGCCCAUGAGGAAGAGAACCUCCGGGGGCAGGGAGGUUCGACUCGAGCGAAGCGAGAGAACGUUGCGCCAGCAACGGCCCGCAGGGCGAG